CCAUGUUUUACCAAAUGAAAACUUGAGUUAUUUGAACACAUUCGUGGGGAAAAUGAGAAACUGAUAUUUCAAUUUUUUCUAUUUGAUUUUGUGUUUACUUCAAUUUACUUCAGGUGAGCAGCCAGAUAAGGAAGGGAAGGAUAACUCAGUGGUGACCAAUGGUCACCCUUAGGUUCACUCUUAAUCAUGCUCCAGGCUACAUCUAUCUCAAUAAAAGUAAGGUCAUUUCCUCUGCUCUUCUCCAGUGCUGGAUUCCCUCCCAAAUGCUUUUUUAUACUCAAGAAGAAUUGAUUUUAGUUUCUCAACACUCAAGCCAGGACCCACACCUGCUCCCUUGAGGUUGGAGGAGUCAUAAUCACUUCCUGAUGGCAAGUGCACUCUUGCAUGAGACCAUGAUCCUGGUGUGGUCACCAACUGCAAAGGCCUGGUGUUUAUGUGAAACCUAGCUAGUAGAAAACAUACUUCAUUUGCUUCCAUAUGGUUAGCACUAGGGUAAGUUUUCCUUGUCUGCUGAACUUUCCCAGGGCUGCCAAUGGUAAAUACCA
Molecule: long non-coding RNA, 545 nt
Filed under: Homo sapiens (human)
Lineage: Eukaryota; Metazoa; Chordata; Mammalia; Primates; Hominidae
Description: HSALNT0046746
Source: RNAcentral